This 798-nucleotide ribosomal RNA is filed under the name uncultured bacterium. RNAcentral describes it as "bacterial SSU rRNA". It matches the Rfam family "Bacterial small subunit ribosomal RNA", at positions 8 to 796 of the family's 1533-position model. The record is from RNAcentral.
AGAGUUUGAUCAUGGCUCAGAACGAACGCUGGCGGCGUGGAUAAGACAUGCAAGUCGAACGGAAAUUGGUUUGUAGCAAUACAGACUGGUUUUAGUGGCGAAAGGGUGCGUAACACGUAGCUAUCUACCUUCAAGUGGGGGAUAACGCCGAGAAAUCGGUGCUAAUACCGCAUGUGAACGAAAGUUUAAGACUGGGGAUCGUAAGACCUGGUGCUUGAAGAUGAGGCUGCGGCCUAUCAGCUAGUUGGCGGGGUAACGGCCCACCAAGGCUAAGACGGGUAGCUGGUCUGAGAGGACGACCAGCCACACUGGAACUGAGACACGGUCCAGACACCUACGGGUGGCAGCAGUCGAGGAUUUUUCUCAAUGGGGGAAACCCUGAAGGAGCGACGCCGCGUGAGGGAUGAAGGUCUUCGGAUUGUAAACCUCUGUCAUCUGGGAACAAUGCGCUCCACCUAACACGUGGAUCGUUGAUAGUACCGGAAGAGGAAGCAGUGGCUAACUCUGUGCCAGCAGCCGCGGUAAUACAGAGACUGCAAGCGUUGUUCGGAUUCAUUGGGCGUAAAGGGUGCGCAGGCGGUGUGCUAAGUCAGAUGUGAAAUCUCACAGCCUAACUGUGAUAGGUCAUUUGAAACUGGCAUGCUAGAGGACUGGAGAGGAGACUGGAAUAGUCGGUGUAGCGGUGAAAUGCGUAGAGAUCGACUAGAGCACCGGUGGCGAAGGCGGGUCUCUGGACAGUUCCUGACGCUCAGGCACGAAAGCCAGGGGAGCAAACGGGAUUAGAUACCCUAGUAGUCC